AAGGGCUAAGGAGCACGUCAGGAGCACCCGAGGUCACUAGUUCAUGAUCCUUUCGGUCACCCGCGAGCCCUGAGCACAGCCGUGUUUACAAAGCACCCCUGGAGGAAAAGGCUGAACGGCACUUUAAAGGCCACGGGCUCCCACAGGCUUCCGUCCUCUCUCGCGAGAUCGGACUGACAACCCCCGCCCGCUCGCCCCGCUCCCGGCAUCCCCACCUUCCUUCUGGCGCCCCUCCCCUUCACCCACACGCCCCUUCUUGCCUUCCUUCUGAGGGAGCGCCUCCGAGUCAGGUGAUUCCGUCAGGCUUAAGGAGAAGAAGGCGGGUCUUCGGCAGGGCGGGUAGAGGGGACGGGCAUCAAAGAGCACUCGGGCGCUCAUGAUUGGACAAGGAGCCCGAAGGGCGGGAAGCAGUUCUGGAGGGGGCGGGACCAGAGGGCCCAAGGAGCGUUACUUCUGUAAACCCGGAGCUGUGGAAGACUGUGAUUGGCUGUCGGCUGGAGGAGGGCGCGGGUGCAGGCGGCGGUGAAGGGCUAGGCAGGGCUUUGGCGGUGUGAGGGGAGGAAAGGUGGUGAGCUCCGGAAAGGCUGCUAGAGGGAAAGCAGGAUGGGUCCUCCGAGCCCAGCCCCAGGAGCCGGGUGUCUCCGUUUCCGUCACUUCCCAGCACUAGGUAGGGAGGUGGGUAAAAGUAGGCUGCGUUCCUCAGCCCACCCCUUGGCUCCCCGGGAGCCUGAGGCGGGGAGCUUCGGGUUAGGUGAGGUUUGGGGGAGGCGGAGUUUGCUGGUAAUUGCCCAUCCCUCCCCUCCAAAAAACCCCACACAACUUAAAGAUUUUAAUAUUAACUGUAAGGAUGUUGGUUAUUCAAUAAAUAGGCACAAGUUGAAAAG
Molecule: long non-coding RNA, 884 nt
Filed under: Homo sapiens (human)
Lineage: Eukaryota; Metazoa; Chordata; Mammalia; Primates; Hominidae
Description: HSALNT0307299
Source: RNAcentral